Molecule: ribosomal RNA, 247 nt
Filed under: uncultured bacterium
Lineage: Bacteria
Description: partial 16S ribosomal RNA
Rfam family: Bacterial small subunit ribosomal RNA
Source: RNAcentral
AUACGUAGGCAGCAAGCGUUGUUCGGAGUUACUGGGCGUAAAGAGUACGUAGGCGGUUUGCUAAGUCUGGUGUGAAAUCUCCUGGCUUAACUGGGAGGGUGCGCUAGAUACUGGCAGGCUUGAGUAUGGGAGAGGAGAGUGGAAUUCCUGGUGUAGCGGUGAAAUGCGUAGAUAUCAGGAGGAACGCCGGUGGUGUAGACGGCUCUCUGGACCAUUACUGACGCUGAGGUACGAAAGCGUGGGUAGC